GUGUCAUUGUAAUCUCACUUCAUCAGCUUUUGUUGAUGGAGGUGGACCUGGACUCUGUUGUGUCAUUACAACUGGUCUGAAAUGUGUGAGUGCACCCUGCUGUUGCAGCGUCUUCAGUGUGAUAAGCAUCUUCACUGAAUCAAGUUCCUUUGGGACACGUGUGUAAUGUGGGCUCUGUGCUGGCAAACUGUCUUUGGACAAUCUUGACAAUUUGACCUCAGAUCGGGUGGGACUACCCGCUGAACUUAAGCAUAUCAAUAAGCGGAGGAAAAGAAACUAACAAGGAUUCCCCUAGUAACGGCGAGUGAAGAGGGAAAAGCUCAAAUUUUGAAUCUGGUGCCUGUGGCAUCCGAGUUGUAAUCUAGAGAAGUGUUUUCUGUCUUGGACCACACAUAAAUUCCCUGGAAUGGGGUGUCAUAGAGGGUGAGAAUCCCGUUUGUGGUGUGGACUACCUUGGCUCUGUGAUACACUCUCAACGAGUCGAGUUGUUUGGGAAUGCAGCUCAAAAUGGGUGGUAAAUUCCAUCUAAAGCUAAAUAUUGGCGAGAGACCGAUAGCGAACAAGUACCGUGAGGGAAAGAUGAAAAGCACUUUGGAAAGAGAGUGAAACAGUACGUGAAAUUGUUGAAAGGGAAGCGUUUGAAGUCAGUCACAUUGGUCAGAAUUCAGCCUGGCUUAUGCCUGGUGUACUUUCUGGCAAAUGGGUCAGCGUCAAUUUUGACCGAGGGAGAAAGACUUGAGGAAGGUGGCUGUCUUCGGGCAGUGUUAUAGCCUCUUGUUGUAAUUCUCGGUUGGGAUUGAGGAUCGCAGCACGCCUUAUGGCCGGGGUUCGCGCCCUCGGUACGUGCUUAGGACGCUGGCAUAAUGGCUUUAAGYGACCCGUCUUGAA
Molecule: ribosomal RNA, 888 nt
Filed under: uncultured Sebacinales
Lineage: Eukaryota; Fungi; Basidiomycota; Agaricomycetes; Sebacinales
Description: eukaryotic LSU rRNA
Rfam family: Eukaryotic large subunit ribosomal RNA (bases 213-888)
Source: RNAcentral